CUGAAAGAGAGACCUCUGUGUGCUGCUGAUAUAAUAUAGAAAAACAGUUUGGCCAGUGUAAUGAGAUAGAUGCACAGUAUUGCAGAAGAGUAAAUAAAUUCAUUGAUGCAGUAGAGUGUAAGGCAGAGUUGAUUAAACAGCUCUGCCUACGUAUCAUUUAGAUGUUUUAAAAUUCAGUGAUUCAUUGGUUUCUGCAGAGAGUGGACUGCUUACAUGGUGCUGGCCCUUUUCAGUUACAUCUAGCUUGCUACAAGAAAUUAAAUUAGUAUAUACAUGAUAAAUAUUUCAUUUAUAUUUUCCAUCUAUACAAAUUAUGGUAGCAAUUAGAGAGGUAUGCGACUGUGAAUGGAAGGGGAAAUUAUCCGUACUGCAGGAAGUGGGAGUCAAAUGAAUACCAAUGAGAGGGAGAGAGCUGCACAAAACAGUCUUUUCUUUAAGAUGACAACACUAUAGAGGGAGAAAAAUAUAAUUAAGAAAAUACAAGUCAUUUAGAUCAGCAAAAUCUACAACGUGUGCUAAACCUCUCUAACUCAAGGAUUUGUGUUUUACCAAUUGUUCUGUGUUGUAUUUUCCUUCUUAAGACAGCAACAUUGCAGACAAGCUAGCAAGCACCCAGACUGAAUAAGAACAGUAUAUGGAACAAUCCAAGAGCCAAGAACAGAGCCGAUGUCGCCUGGUACAUAAAAUUCUCCUGGACUGGACUGUAGUCAUGAACACUCUGCAGAGGGUUACGUUAAUAAAGUGCUCGAUCUUUCUCGUUUGGAAUGAGACGAAGGGCUGGAAAUUUGGGGAUGUCUGCACUACAGCCCAGAGGUGUGAUCUCAUGUAAAUAUACCCAAUAGAGCUUUAAACUAACCCUUUGGGAUACUAAUUGCAAAAUAGGUGCAGGAACAAAGGAGUCAUUUCAGGCUGUAGCAGACCACAUGGGCCAGUCUCAGGGACAGGCCAAAGCAACUGACUUGGGUCGCAGGGCAGGUGGGGGCUUAAGUAGGUUAAUGUGCAAGUGCUUGAGCAGCAACACAUCCAAAGUGACCUGAUUUACAGAGCCAUGGAUUGUAGUGGAGAGAUUAAGCGAAUUUCCUCGCAUGAAGAAAAGAACCAGUAACGAAAGAUGUUUCAGGCUCCUCAUCCUGCCCUCUGCUGAUAGGACAUCCUCCAACUCUUUUAGUACCUGUCUGUGUACUUGGAAAUUGCACGUUUUAGGGUGUUUGAAAGCCAAAAUCAAUUCUGAUCUUAUCUUUUCAGCAUGCUAAAGUAAAACCCCACAUACGAACAACCCUUAUUUUGUCAUACCCAAAUUUUAAUGCUGUGGCUUGAAUCCAUCUAUACUUAUUAUGUACAACAUAUUAAUAAUAUUUAAUUGUAAAUGUCCCUUUUAUUGUUGAUACAUUCCUAGGGUGAGGGAAAUAAGGGACAUUGGCAUGUGCUUCAGAAGUCCUAGGGGUACUGCUACCCAGCCAAGAGCAUUAAAGUUUGUUACAUGAAAAAGCUACUGUUGUCCCUCCUCUCCACGCUUCAUCGCUGCCUGUCUGUAGAUAAAUGUUCGAAAGAGUUGGUGGGUAAUUGUGCUCAAUCUAGUAUGCAUUUAAGGCUUAAAUUGCUUCUUUUAGGCUGAGCCUCCUCGUUCUGUACUUCAGAGUCACUGAAAAACAAAAGAAAACUGAAAAUGUAAAAUUUAGUCUUUGAAAAGGUGCUUCGCAGUCCCAGUUAACUAUCUUAUUGUCUGAGCCUUCUUUAUCCUUGGCAAAUUGCAGAAGAAGAAAUGAUAGAGUUAAUGGGUGUACUUUAUCAAAAAACAGAAAACAAAAGAUUAGGCAUGAAGCUGGCCCACUGACCUACGUGUACUGCAACUUCAGCAUCCAGCAGGAAAAAAAAGGAGGGGGAAGUGGUCAGGAGAAAGGUUAAAUUGCUAGAUGCCUGGGGUGAAGUAACACACCUGACAUUAAACCAUUUAAGUUCAGGCCAAGCCACGUUACCUCACCUUCGGGUCGGUGUGCACAGGCGGUCACUCCAGCCCAGCUGCGAGGUGGUGACUUGCUGAACUUCUGUAACCUGAUGGUGUUGCUGAACCUGCUGUAGUCUGGGCUGAGCCUCUCACUGUCAGUGGUCAGUCGUCACCUACAACGAUCUGGGUGCUGAGGCACAGCCACUCUGUCGUCCACUCUGAAUCAAACGUCGCCCUAAACCACUAAGUCACCUUCUUCUGACUGAAGUUGCCACCAGCAAUGGUAACUUCUACAAAGUGAUUGCAAUGAAUGAUAUUUGCUGUUGUUCUUCCAAAGAAACUUCUUCUCCACAAAAGAAAUCAAAGCACAAGCAACGCUGUUAGCCAUUUGAAUCUGAGUCUGCGUCUAUAUUUUUACGGGUGUUUUGUAACACCGGUGAGGGCCUGGGCGUUCUGUUCAGCCACCUGAAAGCUUUCUGCAAGAUGAGCUUCAACGUUUGGUUUCUCUCUCUGAUUCAUUAAAGAAGAAAACCUGCCCUCACUCAGACGGCUGAUGCCAUUUGGAUGAGGAGAGUGUACAGGCAUCAGACACACCAGAGCGGUGUCAUUAUGAUGACAUGGGAACUGUGUUAGUGUUAGAGGUUGUUUUUAAUUAUUUAGCCGUACCACAGAAGAAUGUGAGGGAAUUUAUUGUAUUAAUUGCGCUUGCCACAAUGAAGGAUUUCUAAGCUCAUUGUGAUAAACCCGAAGCAUUUUUUUUUAUAAUGCACUGGACCUACAUUAUCACUCCUGCAUUUAGAAGGAGAAGAAUCCACAGCCAGCUUCUUUUUCAUUGCUAAAUAAUUUCAUUGCUGAAUAAUAACAUAACCUAUUCAGGCAUUAAAGAGAUACAGAGAAAGUUGUUGUUCACUGUGGUUAGGUUUUACAGCAUGUUGUUGCUUUCUUUGGUUGAGAUUUUUCAUCCUGAUGACAUAAGCUUCAUUUUUAAGCAAAAUUUCUCUCUAAAUCAAACAUAUCCCCUUAGGAAAUUUCAGCUCCUUGGCUGGUUGAUAAUGUGAUUGCAGAUGUUUGCUUUUGGUUUCUUUUGGUUUUUUUUGAACAGGUUACUAAGGUGGCUGAAUGUGAUGUUGUGAUUUAGCAGUUGUUAUUAAGACUCAUGUUCCUGCAAAUCUGGGAUGGGAAUUUCAGUUUAAUCACUGCAAGUUAGAGUUAUGAGGUUCAGAUAAAAUAAAAACUAUUUACAAUUAUGUGGCUGGAGCCUC
This 3207-nucleotide long non-coding RNA is filed under the name Apteryx haastii (Great spotted kiwi). RNAcentral describes it as "lncRNA (ENSAHAG00000019144.1)". Lineage: Eukaryota; Metazoa; Chordata; Aves; Apterygiformes; Apterygidae. The record is from RNAcentral.